RNAcentral lists this ribosomal RNA (497 nucleotides) under uncultured bacterium. RNAcentral's name for it is "partial 16S ribosomal RNA". It matches the Rfam family "Bacterial small subunit ribosomal RNA", at positions 28 to 507 of the family's 1533-position model. The record is from RNAcentral.
GAUGAACGCUGGCGGCGUGCCUAAUACAUGCAAGUCGAGCGAACAGACGAGGAGCUUGCUCCUUCGACGUUAGCGGCGGACGGGUGAGUAACACGUAGGUAACCUACCUAUAAGACUGGGAUAACUUCGGGAAACCGGAGCUAAUACCGGAUAAUAUUUCGAACCGCAUGGUUCGAUAGUGAAAGAUGGCUUUGCUAUCACUUAUAGAUGGACCUGCGCCGUAUUAGCUAGUUGGUAAGGUAACGGCUUACCAAGGCAACGAUACGUAGCCGACCUGAGAGGGUGAUCGGCCACACUGGAGCUGAGACAGGGUCCAGACUCCUACGGGAGGCAGCAGUAGGGAAUCGUCCGCAAUGGGCGAGAGCCUGACGGAGCAACGCCGCGUGAGUGAUGAAGGUCUUCGGAUCGUAAAACUCUGUUAUUAGGGAAGAACAAACGUGUAAGUAACUGUGCACGUCUUGACGGUACCUAAUCAGAAAGCCACGGCUAACUACGUG